AUCUUCAGGGCGGGGUGUAAUUCCCCACCGGCGGUACAGCCCGCGAGCCCCAAAGGGUAUGAUUCGGUGAAAUUCCGAGGCCGACAGUAAAGUCUGGAUGGAAGAAGU
This 108-nucleotide non-coding RNA is filed under the name uncultured Clostridium sp. Its description in RNAcentral is "FMN riboswitch (RFN element)". It matches the Rfam family "FMN riboswitch aptamer (RFN element)". From Rfam's summary of the family: The RFN element is a highly conserved domain that is found frequently in the 5'-untranslated regions of prokaryotic mRNAs that encode for flavin mononucleotide (FMN) biosynthesis and transport proteins. This element is a metabolite-dependent riboswitch that directly binds FMN in the absence of proteins. In Bacillus subtilis, the riboswitch most likely controls gene expression by causing premature transcription termination within the 5' untranslated region of the ribDEAHT operon and precluding access to the ribosome-binding site of ypaA mRNA. Lineage: Bacteria; Bacillati; Bacillota; Clostridia; Eubacteriales; Clostridiaceae. The record is from RNAcentral.